This 464-nucleotide ribosomal RNA is filed under the name uncultured Desulfobulbus sp. RNAcentral describes it as "bacterial SSU rRNA". It matches the Rfam family "Bacterial small subunit ribosomal RNA", at positions 923 to 1382 of the family's 1533-position model. The record is from RNAcentral. Lineage: Bacteria; Pseudomonadati; Thermodesulfobacteriota; Desulfobulbia; Desulfobulbales; Desulfobulbaceae.
GCACAAGCGGUGGAGUAUGUGGUUUAAUUCGAUGCAACGCGAAGAACCUUACCUGGUCUUGACAUCCCGGAGACCCUUAGGAAACUAGGGGUGCCUCCAUCUGGAAGAAUCUGGAGACAGGUGCUGCAUGGCUGUCGUCAGCUCGUGUCGUGAGAUGUUGGGUUAAGUCCCGCAACGAGCGCAACCCUUGCCUUUAGUUGCCAGCAGUUCGGCUGGGCACUCUAAAGGGACUGCCGGUGUUAAACCGGAGGAAGGUGGGGAUGACGUCAAGUCCUCAUGGCCUUUAUGACCAGGGCUACACACGUACUACAAUGGCCGAUACAAAGGGCAGCGACACUGCGAGGUGAAGCCAAUCCCGUAAAAUCGGUCUCAGUCCGGAUUGGAGUCUGCAACUCGACUCCAUGAAGUUGGAAUCGCUAGUAAUCGUGGAUCAGCAUGCCACGGUGAAUACGUUCCCGGGCCUU